This 253-nucleotide ribosomal RNA is filed under the name uncultured bacterium. Its description in RNAcentral is "partial 16S ribosomal RNA". It matches the Rfam family "Bacterial small subunit ribosomal RNA", at positions 524 to 776 of the family's 1533-position model. The record is from RNAcentral.
UACGUAGGGGGCUAGCGUUGUCCGGAAUCAUUGGGCGUAAAGCGCGCGUAGGCGGCCCGGUAAGUCCGCUGUGAAAGUCCAGGGCUCAACCCUGGAAAGCCGGUGGAUACUGUCGGGCUAGAGUCCGGAAGAGGCGAGUGGAAUUCCUGGUGUAGCGGUGGAAUGCGCAGAUAUCAGGAGGAACACCGAUGGCGAAGGCAGCUCGCUGGGACGGUACUGACGCUGAGGCGCGAAAGCUAGGGGAGCAAACGGG